CAUAUCAAUAAGCGGAGGAAAAGAAACCAACAGGGAUUGCCCCAGUAACGGCGAGUGAAGCGGCAACAGCUCAAAUUUGAAAUCUGGCCCUCGGGUCCGAGUUGUAAUUUGUAGAGGAUGCUUUUGGCGAGGUGCCUUCCGAGUUCCCUGGAACGGGACGCCAUAGAGGGUGAGAGCCCCGUCUGGUCGGACACCGAGCCUCUGUAAAGCUCCUUCGACGAGUCGAGUAGUUUGGGAAUGCUGCUCAAAAUGGGAGGUAUAUGUCUUCUAAAGCUAAAUAUUGGCCAGAGACCGAUAGCGCACAAGUAGAGUGAUCGAAAGAUGAAAAGCACUUUGAAAAGAGGGUUAAAAAGUACGUGAAAUUGUUGAAAGGGAAGCGCCUAUGACCAGACUUGAGCCCGGUGAAUCAUCCAGCGUUCUCGCUGGUGCACUUUGCCGGGCCCAGGCCAGCAUCAGUUUGGCGCGGGGGAUAAAGGUGACGGGAAUGUGGCUCCCUCGGGAGUGUUAUAGCCCGCUACGUAAUACCCUGCGCCGGACUGAGGUACGCGCAUUGCAAGGAUGCUGGCGUAAUGGUCAUCAGCGACCCGUCUUGAAACACGGACCAAGGAGUCGUCUUCGUAUGCGAGUGUUCGGGUGUCAAACCCCUACGCGUAAUGAAAGUGAACGCAGGUGAGAGCUUCGGCGCAUCAUCGACCGAUCCUGAUGUUCUCGGAUGGAUUUGAGUAAGAGCAUACGGGGCCGGACCCGAAAGAAGGUGAACUAUGCCUGUAUAGGGUGAAGCCAGAGGAAACUCUGGUGGAGGCUCGCAGCGGUUCUGACGUGCGAAUCGAUCGUCAAAUAUGGGCAUGGGGGCGAAAGACUAAUCGAACCUUCUAGUAGCUGGUUUCCGC
RNAcentral lists this ribosomal RNA (890 nucleotides) under Cordyceps fumosorosea. Its description in RNAcentral is "eukaryotic LSU rRNA". It matches the Rfam family "Eukaryotic large subunit ribosomal RNA", at positions 39 to 961 of the family's 3401-position model. The record is from RNAcentral. Lineage: Eukaryota; Fungi; Ascomycota; Sordariomycetes; Hypocreales; Cordycipitaceae.